Chiroxiphia lanceolata (lance-tailed manakin) is the source of this 4991-nucleotide long non-coding RNA. RefSeq lists it as uncharacterized. The record is from RefSeq and is a predicted model, not a curated record. NCBI's taxonomy places the organism in Eukaryota, Metazoa, Chordata, Aves, Passeriformes, Pipridae. The transcript is spliced from 4 exons.
UUUGUGAGAAAGGCAGAAGGACAAUGCAGUGGACGUGGGGCACUGGCCUGUGGCAGUGUGGCCACCCUGGGCUGAGGGCAGCAUCGCCCUGACACGGCCUCCUGCCUUGCCCUGCCAAUGUUUAUUUUGCUUGGGUAAACGUUUGAUUUUAGCAACACGACUGCAAUGUGUGAGUUGUGCUGGGGCUGUAAUUCGAUGGGAGGAGGCAGCUAUGUGCAGGGAGAGCUGCUAAUGCCGAAGGAAUGCUGCGCUUCCUCAGGACCAGAGAAGAUGGCGCCUGGGGCCCCUGGGGACAGCUCGGCUCCUUGGCCCUGCUGUCACCCUGCGCCCGGGAGCUGAGAGCCAAAGUGGGGUCUUUCCUUGCUCAGGGCUCUUGUGGCCCAAAUGGAUGUGAUUUCUGAGGGAAAACUGGGUGUUUCACUUAUUGCAGUGAGGCUCCCACCCAGGGCUGGAGGAGGACUAUGAGGUGCCGUGGGGCUCCUCACCAGGCUGGGUCAGACAGGAAGGAGGCACCCAGUCAAGCUUAGGAAUGGCUUUUAUUCAUGUUUCCAAGGAAAACUGAGGUCUUCUUUCUGCAUGUGCCACAGGGUGACAAUCAGGAUGGCAAGAAGGGGUGUCCUGUCAGGACAGCAAGGUGAGAAUAGGGAGGAGAGGUACUGUCCCUCACCCAGGGAUGUCAGUGAUGGCCUAAGUGGUUUGUAAUUCACAUUUCUUUGCUAAAAUGCUGCUGAUGCUCCAGUUAAGCCAGCAGGCACCAGUGCCAGCUCCCGAGCCUUCUCACCAUGGCAGGGGUGAGGAGAUGACAGCUCCCCACCAAGCAGAUGGCCCUGUUGGAUGGACUUUGUCGCUGGGCUGGCAGCAAAAUGCCUCCUUGGAGAAUUAAAGCUCCAGCUGUGAUGUCACCUUGCCAGAAGUGGCCCCCAGGAGUGACCCCAUUAGUCAUGAGCACACGACCGGGGUGAAGCUGUCACUAAACCUCUAAGGAAAGACUAUCUGAGGCACUGGGUAUUAACAGGUUUUAUUUCCCCCAGCCACCCUUCUCAGCACUCAGUCUUCAUACCAGUAGCCAGGGGAUUUAAGUGAAGGAGAUGAGAUGCAGAGCUGGAGGGAUUUAGGAGAUUCGAGCUGUCCAUUGGGCCUCAGAUUUAUUCAACCCCCUUCAUAAACUCCAGGAACUCUGCCAAGGGGAAGACAUUGGAGAGAAGAGGUGUGAGGUGAGACCGAAGUGCUCUCGCAGCUGUCAAGUGCGCUCUUGGCAGUUUUCCCCAGCCCUGUCUCCUUUUCCAACCCCACAACGUGCAAGAGGCCGAGGGUGGAUGGCUACUGCUCCUCUGACUGUGGCGAGGACUCCUCGUGACUCCUGCUGGAAAUGUCACUGGAGCCCUGCAUCACCCUCGGCUGCCACCAAAACACUGGAGGUACUGCUUAUCUAAAAUUGCUGACCUCACCACCGUGUCCAACUGCCCCUUUUACAGCAUCCAUGAAAACACUGACCCUUCCUAUGCUGGUCAACAGCCUCUCUGGAGCCAGCCAGGGACAGGUUUCUCUGGCUGAAGUGGGGGAAGGCAAGCUCUGAGCUCGGAGGUCACAGCGCUGCAGCAGCCGUGGUAACACCAAAUCUGCUGUAUUUUGCUUUUAUCAGCUCUCCUCUCCAUCUAUCCCAUGGUUCCAUUGACGUCACAUAGGGGAAAUUGAAAUUCUUCAGUUUUUUUUCCAGGUAAAUGUUUUCUUAUAGUUAAAACUGCGGGAAAUAGAUCCACAAAAAUGCUGUUUGUCUCAGCUGUGCCUAGCUUGGACUUGUUUGGCCUCUGUAAAGGUGCUGGCAGUAAAUGCCCAGGACUCAAGCCUCACAUUUACCUAAUUAUGGGCAUGUGGUCCCUGUACAAUGAGGAGAGGGCCGGUGCCUUGAGUCACAGAGAACGUAUUUAAUUAAAAACCUUCAUUAGAAAGGCCUGGAUUUUCUUUGAUUUUACAGGUUCCAUUUUCCUCCCUUUUGGAGGUGUUGGUUGAGGGACUCAGCCUUCCCUGAGCCUUUUCACACUGUCAGGAUCACUACGGGGGUUCCAUUUAACGAGGUUCAGGGCUGAUCAAAGGACAAGAAAGGUGUGAGCAUUGAGGGAUUUUUUCUUUAACUACCUACCGAGUGCUAUAUUCCUUCCCUCUAAAAACCCCGUAAUUAAAAUAGGACUUGUAUGAUGUAUUUUUUUGUGCGCUUGGUUAAAAUCAAAGCUGGUCAACUACAAAUUAAAAAAAAAAAUUUAAAAAGGCACCAAAAAGCUCUUACUGUAACUCCAGUUAUGGAAGGGAUGCAGUAGCAAUCCACACAAUCCGGAAUCUAUUUUCAUCCUUAUUCCACACGCACAUCACUGUCUGUCUACGUUACGGAAUAAUGCAGUGUUCGUAUUACAGACCAAAUAGUUUGGGUUUACACAGAGAGUGCAGCAUGCAGCUGUGGAAGUUAAAAUAGCCAUGAGGAUGCUCCACGUUCCCCAGUGCAUAGCUCACAUUCUGGAUCCUGCACAGCAGAUAGCAGGAGCAGCAAAGCUGAGGAGAAGGAAACUGGGACUCAUUUCACUCAACCAGCAAGAUGACCCGUCCCCACUGCAAAUGGCUAAAAUCCACACUCCUGGAUUUACCGUGGAUUUACCCCUCCACGGUGGAAAGCAAAACACACCAAAAACCUCCAAGUGAUGAGCAGCGUUUUCUUAGUCCAGGAAAAAGCGAUUUAAUCCAGCAACCGAAGUCAAACCUCUCCUUUUAGUGAUUCAGGACUCCCUCUUGUGUCCAGAGGGGCUAUGGAUGGCUCUGGCACCUCAGGAUACAAAGUCCCACCUCCAGUUGGCUCACACCAGCGUUAGUUAGCAAAACAGAAAAUAAUACUGGUGCAGCUGUUAGGUUUCAUCCUUUCUAAAAUCCCUUCUCCGUUUAAGAGGAAUCAUACUGCGUGGAAAAACCUGCUGUCCCUGUGGAAUGCCCAGCCAAAGCAGCGUUAAUCAGGGACCCUGCUGGUGUCAGCACAAAGUGAGGACAUGGCUGAGCACAGAGCUGUCCCCACACUACAUCCACCCAGGUUUUGAGUCCUGAAGGAUUAACUUGUUAGGAACUGUGGUCCUGCGGGUACCCACUGGCCUUGAUUUACACAGCUUCAGCCCAGAUCUGCCUCCAGAUGGAAUAGCAAGGAAAAUAGUUGCAUUUAAGGAAUUAAUUUUUGAAGCAGUUAGUCUUGAGAGUUGGAACCUGUUAAUAUUUUGGUUGCCUUGAACACAGAAAAAGCAGGAAAAGCUGCAAAGGGAAGUAGUUAUUUUGUUAAAGGACAUUGGAGCCUGUCCUUAGGUGAGAUCACAGGAUGGGAUGAAGGACCUGCUGUCAUCCACAAUUAAACCAUCCCACAGAACCUCCUGGGCAACCUCAGAGACCUUCCCAGUGAAGUGCUGCCCCAAAGCAAACCCGUGCCCCUGGUUACUUUCUCCCCUCAGGAUCCACUGCAAGUACCAGCACUGGGCAGUACAAGUGUGAGGAAUCACGCCUGGCCCUGUCCCUCCACCCUGGGAGGUGAUGGCUCUGAGUCACCCCUCUGAAAACAGCCCCUGGGAUGCGUCAGAAUGUAUCCAAGGCCAAUGCAGAGCAGGAAUGGGAGCACUAACAUGGCCUUUAAAAGGUUGUGGCUGCGCUGCUGGAUGAAAUUCAGGUUGGGAUGUGGAAGAAGAAUCUCUGCUUAGAGGAAAUCUGGGCCACUGCCACCAUACACACUGACGUGGGAUGGCUGCACUUCUGCAAACGUCUGAUACGAACAGGGACUUACAAAACAGAGCUGUGCCUGGAGGGAAAGGAUGAAAUCCAUCUGGCGACAGGAGAUGAUGUUCCUCCCAGGGAAUGAGGCACAAGCGAGGGGCAUCAUGCCAACCACUGCCUCCCCGCCUGCUGCUUGGAGACAAAGCUUCCAGCAUCCCCUGUCUCUUUGAAGUUCUUUGCUUACAAAAGAAUUGGGGUUUUGUAGAGAAACCCAGAGCCUCUGCCAUGCACAGGGCAGGGGGAGGCUGCUACAGGUAUGGAGUGUCCUGGGGAUAACCAUCCACUCCUGCUACUUCUCUUGCCUCUCCGUGUGAGACCCAGGGCAGAGAUGGAGCGUGGCUAUCUAUAGCCUGGGGAGGGCUGCCAGCUCAAGUGCCCUUAAUCCGGGCAUGGCUGGCUUGGUGGCACGCCAGCUGUCACUGUGGUCAGGUACAACAUGUCAGCUUGGGCUCCAGCUGCACCCUGACACGCUGCCACACUUGUCAGUCAGUCCAAGGUACCAAGACAAACAGAAGGUUUUACCGUGCUUUUUUCCUCCAAAAUCUCAGAUUAGGUUUGCAUUUCCAAACAGCUGUAAUCCAGGGCAAAACUCGCAGAGGCAUCCUUCAGUUCAAAUGCAGGGAAAUACAAAGCAGAAGCCCAACUAAGAUGCAAUUUUGUUUGGGGUCAGGGCUGUUUGCAAGGCUCCUUGGUUUCUGUUGUAGUUCCAAACUGCAGCAAAACUCUCCAGCAUCCCUCUUCCCUGCAUCAGGCACUGGCCCUAGGAGAGGCCAGACCCACCACCAUUGAAGUUCUUUAAUUCACUGCUUUCUAAAUUCACCUCAGAGACCUUUUGCCGAACAAGCCCCCAUUUGCCCCCUUUCAUCUUCUCUGUGAGCCAAGACAGGGCUGUCACACCAGGAGCCACCUCUGUGCCCGCAGGCGGGAACUGCUUUAGGAGGAGGAGAAGGGAACUGAUCGCAACCGACAGGCGCGCCAGUGCUGCAAAUUGUUGUUUAAUUAAGGAGACGGGACAUUGAGAGGAAGCUUAAUUAAAGUUGCUCUCCAAACCCACUUAUUAUCUCAUGAAGAGGCUGAGCUCAGCAGCAGCUCCUGAUGCUGGGACAGCAACAGAAAAUCCCUCUUGGUUUGCCUGCACUACACGUGUUUUCUCCUGGCACGCAUCAUCCUUCAGCUACAUCCUGACCAACAGAAAGCAU